CUGCUUAAUACUGGGUAUGGCAGGAUACUUAAUCAUCUCGAGGCAAACGAGUGACCUUGUAACAGUGAUCAGAUAACAGAGUGAUUAGGGAACAAUGACAUCAGGUAACAGUGUGAUCAGGGAACAGAGUGAUCAGGUAACAGUGUGAUCAGGGAAUAGAGUGAUCGGGUAACAGUGUGAUCAGGGAACAGAGUGAUCAGGUAACAGGGUGAUCAGGUAACAGUGUGAUCAGGGAACAGAAUGAUCAGGGAAAAGAGUGAUCAGGGAACAGGGUGAUCAGGUAACAGA
Long non-coding RNA from Haliotis rubra (blacklip abalone), 288 nucleotides. RefSeq lists it as uncharacterized. NCBI's taxonomy places the organism in Eukaryota, Metazoa, Mollusca, Gastropoda, Lepetellida, Haliotidae. The transcript has 3 exons. The record is from RefSeq and is a predicted model, not a curated record.